RNAcentral lists this ribosomal RNA (253 nucleotides) under uncultured bacterium. Its description in RNAcentral is "partial 16S ribosomal RNA". It matches the Rfam family "Bacterial small subunit ribosomal RNA", at positions 524 to 776 of the family's 1533-position model. The record is from RNAcentral.
UACGUAGGGGGCAAGCGUUGUCCGGAAUCAUUGGGCGUAAAGAGCGUGUAGGCGGCCCGGUAAGUCCGCUGUGAAAGUCGAGGGCUCAACCCUCGAAUGCCGGCGGAUACUGUCGGGCUAGAGUCCGGAAGAGGCGAGUGGAAUUCCUGGUGUAGCGGUGAAAUGCGCAGAUAUCAGGAAGAACACCCGUGGCGAAGGCGGUUCUCUGGGACGGUACUGACGCUGAGACGCGAAAGCGUGGGGAGCGAACAGG